UAGGCUUUACAAUAUUUGAUCCAUGAAAGGUAAUAGAAAAUGAUCCUUCCUAGUAGCUUGAUUUAACCUCUGAUAGUCAAUACACAUAUGCCAUCCGGUAACUGUUCGAGUUGGAACCAACUCGUUCUUGUCAUUUCAAACGACAGUCAUACCUCCCUUUUUUCAUUCAUUGGACUCACCCAAGAACUAUAAAAAAUAAG
RNAcentral lists this long non-coding RNA (200 nucleotides) under Lathyrus oleraceus (garden pea). Its description in RNAcentral is "Pisum sativum (pea) long non-coding RNA (PSAT_LNC008312)". Lineage: Eukaryota; Viridiplantae; Streptophyta; Magnoliopsida; Fabales; Fabaceae. The record is from RNAcentral.